UGGCGACCGGCGCACGGGUGAGUAACACGUAUCCAACCUGCCGAUGACUCGGGGGAUAGCCUUUCGAAAGAAAGAUUAAUACCCGAUGGCAUAGUUCUUCCGCAUGGUAGAACUAUUAAAGAAUUUCGGUCAUCGAUGGGGAUGCGUUCCAUUAGGUUGUUGGCGGGGUAACGGCCCACCAAGCCUUCGAUGGAUAGGGGUUCUGAGAGGAAGGUCCCCCACAUUGGAACUGAGACACGGUCCAAACUCCUACGGGAGGCAGCAUG
This 266-nucleotide ribosomal RNA is filed under the name uncultured bacterium. Its description in RNAcentral is "partial 16S ribosomal RNA". It matches the Rfam family "Bacterial small subunit ribosomal RNA", at positions 89 to 353 of the family's 1533-position model. The record is from RNAcentral.